RNAcentral lists this ribosomal RNA (520 nucleotides) under uncultured Glomus. RNAcentral's name for it is "SSU rRNA". It matches the Rfam family "Eukaryotic small subunit ribosomal RNA", at positions 569 to 1094 of the family's 1831-position model. Lineage: Eukaryota; Fungi; Glomeromycota; Glomeromycetes; Glomerales; Glomeraceae. The record is from RNAcentral.
AGCAGCCGCGGUAAUUCCAGCUCCAAUAGCGUAUAUUUAAGUUGUUGCAGUUAAAAAGCUCGUAGUUGAAUUUCGGGAUUAGUACGUUGGUCGUGCCUUAGGUACGUACUGGUGUUACUGGCUCCUACCUUCUGACGAACCAUCAUGUCAUUAAUUUGGUGUGGCGGGGAAUCAGGACUGUUACUUUGAAAAAUUAGAGUGUUUAAAGCAGGCUCGCGCUUGAAUACGUUAGCAUGGAAUAAUGAAAUAGGACGUUGACCCUAUUUUGUUGGUUUCUAGGGUUGACGUAAUGAUUAAUAGGGAUAGUUGGGGGCAUUAGUAUUCAAUUGUCAGAGGUGAAAUUCUUGGAUUUAUUGAAGGCUAACUACUGCGAAAGCAUUUGCCAAGGAUGUUUUCAUUAAUCAAGAACGAAAGUUAGGGGAUCGAAGACGAUCAGAUACCGUCGUAGUCUUAACCAUAAACUAUGCCGACUAGGGAUCGGAUGAUGUUAUUUUUAAUGACUCAUUCGGCGCCUUACGGG